RNAcentral lists this non-coding RNA (130 nucleotides) under Chlorarachnion reptans. The record is from RNAcentral. Lineage: Eukaryota; Cercozoa; Chlorarachniophyceae.
ACAAACAACAAGAAGAAGAAGCAACAAAAGAAUACUGGGCUGAGACGCCGAAGAUAGAUGAUAUUGCAUUGAUUUGAUGUCAUCCGCAGUGGUCGUCUGUUUUUUCAUUUUUUCAUUUUUUUGUUUUUAU